Macaca fascicularis (crab-eating macaque) is the source of this 149-nucleotide unclassified non-coding RNA. It matches the Rfam family "Metazoan signal recognition particle RNA". From Rfam's summary of the family: The signal recognition particle (SRP) is a universally conserved ribonucleoprotein. It is involved in the co-translational targeting of proteins to membranes. The record is from Ensembl. Lineage: Eukaryota; Metazoa; Chordata; Mammalia; Primates; Cercopithecidae.
GCUGGGCGUGGUGGCGCACGCCUGUAAUCCCAGCUACUCGGGAGGCAGAGACAGGAGAAUCACUUGAACCCAGGAAGCAGAGGCUGUGGUGAGCGGAGAUUGUGCCACUCUACUACCACCCUGGGUGACAGAGUGAGACUCUGCCUCAA